UUCGCAAUGCCCGAAAGGGUGACGAAGCGACGCCGCGUGUGGGAAGAAGGCCUUCGGGUUGUAAACCUCUGUCGGGAGUUAAGAAAUGCAAGGAUAUGAAUAGUGUCUUUGCUUGACUAAGGCUCCGGAGGAAGCCACGGCUAACUCUGUGCCAGCAGCCGCGGUAAUACAGAGGCGGCAAGCGUUGUUCGGAAUUAUUGGGCGUAAAGAGCACGUAGGCGGCUAUGUAAGUCGGUUGUGAAAGCCUUCCGCUCAACGGGAGAACAGCAUCCGAUACUACAUGGCUUGAGUGCGGGAGGGGAGAGUGGAACUUCUGGUGGAGCGGUGAAAUGCGUAGAUAUCAGAAGGAACGCCGGCGGCGAAAGCGGCUCUCUGGCCCAUAACUGACGCUGAGUGUGCGAAAGCUAGGGGAGCAAACGGGAUUAGAUACCCCGGUAGUCCUAGCCGUAAACGAUGGGCACUAAGUAGAGGGGUUUU
This 477-nucleotide ribosomal RNA is filed under the name uncultured bacterium. Its description in RNAcentral is "bacterial SSU rRNA". It matches the Rfam family "Bacterial small subunit ribosomal RNA", at positions 365 to 832 of the family's 1533-position model. The record is from RNAcentral.